GUAGUCAUAUGCUUGUCUCAAAGAUUAAGCCAUGCAGGUCUUAGUAUAAACUUGAAAAAAGUGAAACCGCGAAUGGCUCAUUACAUCAGUUAUGGUUCCUUAGAUCUUCGGUUUCCUACUUGGAUAACCCUGGAAAAUCUAGAGCUAAUACAUGAAAAUGAAGCUCCGACCUUUGGGAAGGAGCGUUCUUGUUAGAUCAAAAUCAAUCGGGGCUUCGGCUCCGUUUCUUGGUGAAUCUAAACAAUUUUGAGCAGAUCGCACAGUCUUGUACUGGCGACGACUCUUUCAAAUAUCUGCCUUAUCAACUCGAUGGUAGGUUAUGCGCCUACCAUGGUUGUAACGGGUAACGGAGAAUCAGGGUUCGAUACCGGAGAGGGAGCCUGAGAAACGGCUACCACAUCCAAGGAAGGCAGCAGGCACGCAAAUUACCCAAUCCCGGCUCGGGGAGGUAGUGACGAAAAAUAACAAUACGGGACUCAUCCGAGGCCCCGUAAUUGGAAUGACUACAAUUUAAAUCCUUUAAGAAGGAUCCAUUGGAGGGCAAGUCUGGUGCCAGCAGCCGCGGUAAUUCCAGCUCCAAUAGCGUAUAUUAAAGUUGCUGCAGUUAAAAAGCUCGUAGUUGGAUCUCAGUUACGGGCAGGUGGUUCACUUUACAGUGCUACUACCUGAAUCGAACCUAUUGCUGGAUCUCUUGGGUGCCCUUCACUGGGUGCCCCAUGAGACCAGAGCGUUUACUUUGAGAAAAUUAGAGUGCUCAAAGCAGGCGAAUGCCUGAAUAGUUGUGCAUGGAAUAAUAAAAUAUGACCUCGGUGCCAUUUUGUUGGUUCACGGUGCUCGAGGUAAUGGUUAAAAGGGACUGACGGGGGCAUUCGUAUUGCGACGUUAGAGGUGAAAUUCUUAGAUCGUCGCAAGACGGACUACUGCGAAAGCAUUUGCCAAGAAUGUCUUCAUUAAUCAAGAACGAAAGUCAGAGGUUCGAAGGCGAUCAGAUACCGCCCUAGUUCUGACCUUAAACGAUGCUAACUGGCGAUCCAGUGGGGGUAUUUAAAAUGACCUGCUGGGCAGCUUCUGGGAAACCAAAGUUUAUGGGUUCCGGGGGAAGUAUGGUUGCAAAGCUGGAACUUAAAGGAAUUGACGGAAGGGCACCACCAGGAGUGGAGCCUGUGGCUUAAUUUGACCCAACACGGGAAACCUCACCAGGCCCAGACACUAGAAGGAUUGACAGAUUGAGAGCUCUUUCUUGAUUUGGUGGAUGGUGGUGCAUGGCCGUUCUUAGUUGGUGGAGUGAUUUGUCUGGUUAAUUCCGAUAACGAACGAGACUUUAGCCUACUAAAUAGAUGGAGGAUACUCAAAAGAGUCCUCAUCGUCUUCUUAGAGGGACAAGGCAGCUUCAAGCUGCAUGAGAAAAGGCAAUAACAGGUCUGUGAUGCCCUUAGAUGUUCUGGGCCGCACACGCGCUACAAUAAAAGGCGCAGCGUGUCUUCCUGACUCGAUAGAGUUGGGUAACCCUCACAAUGUCUUUUGUGCUAGGGAUUGGGCUUUGAAAUUAUCGCCCAUGAACGAGGAAUUCCCAGUAAGUGCAAGUCAUAAGCUUGUGCUGACUACGUCCCUGCCCUUUGUACACACCGCCCGUCGCUACUACCGAUUGAAUGAUUUAGUGAGGACUUCGGACUGGUGCUAAUACGGCCUCACGGUUGCGUUGGUUUACUGGGAAGAUGCCCAAACUGCCUCAUUUAGAGGAAGUAAAAGUCGUAACAAGGUUUCCGUAGGUGAACCUGCGGAAGGAUCACUG
Molecule: ribosomal RNA, 1792 nt
Filed under: Fabaeformiscandona kushiroensis
Lineage: Eukaryota; Metazoa; Arthropoda; Ostracoda; Podocopida; Candonidae
Description: SSU rRNA
Rfam family: Eukaryotic small subunit ribosomal RNA
Source: RNAcentral